UGGGGUCAAAACUAUAAUUUGGCAUUAAAAUUAGAAAGAUCAUAUCAUGGGGAACAUGUGUACUAAGUUUCAAGUGGAUUGGACUUCAACUUCAUCAAAAACUACCUUGACCAAAAACUUUAACCUGAAGUCGGACGAACGAACGGACGAACGAACGAACGAACGGAGGCACAGACCAGAAAACAUAAUGCCCCUCUACUAUCGUAGGUGGGACAUAACAAGUCAA
This 226-nucleotide long non-coding RNA is filed under the name Mytilus galloprovincialis (Mediterranean mussel). Lineage: Eukaryota; Metazoa; Mollusca; Bivalvia; Mytilida; Mytilidae. The record is from RNAcentral.